RNAcentral lists this ribosomal RNA (863 nucleotides) under Alteromonas sp. RNAcentral describes it as "bacterial SSU rRNA". It matches the Rfam family "Bacterial small subunit ribosomal RNA", at positions 110 to 975 of the family's 1533-position model. The record is from RNAcentral. Lineage: Bacteria; Pseudomonadati; Pseudomonadota; Gammaproteobacteria; Alteromonadales; Alteromonadaceae.
GUAAUGCUUGGGAACUUGCCUUUGCGAGGGGGAUAACAGUUGGAAACGACUGCUAAUACCGCAUAAUGUCUUCGGACCAAACGGGGCUUCGGCUCCGGCGCAAAGAGAGGCCCAAGUGAGAUUAGCUAGUUGGUAAGGUAACGGCUUACCAAGGCGACGAUCUCUAGCUGUUCUGAGAGGAAGAUCAGCCACACUGGGACUGAGACACGGCCCAGACUCCUACGGGAGGCAGCAGUGGGGAAUAUUGCACAAUGGGGGAAACCCUGAUGCAGCCAUGCCGCGUGUGUGAAGAAGGCCUUCGGGUUGUAAAGCACUUUCAGUUGUGAGGAAAAGUUAGUAGUUAAUACCUGCUAGCCGUGACGUUAACAACAGAAGAAGCACCGGCUAACUCCGUGCCAGCAGCCGCGGUAAUACGGAGGGUGCGAGCGUUAAUCGGAAUUACUGGGCGUAAAGCGCACGCAGGCGGUUUGUUAAGCUAGAUGUGAAAGCCCCGGGCUCAACCUGGGAUGGUCAUUUAGAACUGGCAGACUAGAGUCUUGGAGAGGGGAGUGGAAUUCCAGGUGUAGCGGUGAAAUGCGUAGAUAUCUGGAGGAACAUCAGUGGCGAAGGCGACUCCCUGGCCAAAGACUGACGCUCAUGUGCGAAAGUGUGGGUAGCGAACAGGAUUAGAUACCCUGGUAGUCCACACCGUAAACGCUGUCUACUAGCUGUGUGUGCCUUUAAGGCGUGCGUAGCGAAGCUAACGCGCUAAGUAGACCGCCUGGGGAGUACGGCCGCAAGGUUAAAACUCAAAUGAAUUGACGGGGGCCCGCACAAGCGGUGGAGCAUGUGGUUUAAUUCGAUGCAACGCGAAGAACCUUACC